RNAcentral lists this long non-coding RNA (655 nucleotides) under Heterocephalus glaber (naked mole-rat). Its description in RNAcentral is "lncRNA (ENSHGLG00000038555.1)". Lineage: Eukaryota; Metazoa; Chordata; Mammalia; Rodentia; Bathyergidae. The record is from RNAcentral.
GGCCCGCACCCCGCUCACAGGGCCUGGGCGGAGCCUCUGCUGGGGCGGGAGCGGCUCGGCUGCCUCGAUUCCCUCAGUGUCCGUCCGUCUGUCCGUCUGUCCGGCGGGGAGGAACGUGCUGAGCGCUCGGCGACCCGCAGAGCCACCACCCGGGUCUCUGCUCCCUGUUGGGCUGUGAGUUCCCUAAAGGAAAUCACCUUUGGGUUCACAGAACCUGGCCCAGGCCUGGACCAUCAUUUCAGAUGGGAAGGAAUUCCACACAUCUGUAGAAGGAACUGUUCCUGCUCCUCACUCCGGCCCAGGGCCUGUGGACGCAACCCUGCGCGGAGCCCCAGCUGUGCAGCCUGCGCCCUCCUGGAGAAGGGAGACCGGAAGUGGGGCUGUUCACCACGCCUGCCUGCCUGCCUGCCGAGUUCAGGUUGGUUUCUGCCUUCAAAUCUACUGAAGCCCGCGGUAGUGAGUCCCAGCCCAGGGUCCGUGUGGGGCACUGCAGGGUCCCUGCAGUCACAGGUACCAGGGGCAGAAACAGAGGGGACACAGCCCUCAUCCCGCUCCGCUGCCCUCUGGGUCCCUGCGCCCCAUCUACGCGGACCCUCACCUGCGAUUCCAGGCAGUCCUGUCACUGCCCCAGGCCUUCCUGACAGGCAUGCCCAGG